RNAcentral lists this ribosomal RNA (110 nucleotides) under Amphilophus citrinellus (Midas cichlid). The record is from RNAcentral. Lineage: Eukaryota; Metazoa; Chordata; Actinopteri; Cichliformes; Cichlidae.
UGUUACAGCUCAACCACCCUGAGCACACCUGGGCUCGUCUGAUCUAAGCAGGGUCAGGCCUGCAUACUAAUGGGUGGAGGACCACCUGGGAACACCAGGUACCAUUAGGA